RNAcentral lists this microRNA precursor (74 nucleotides) under Myotis lucifugus (little brown bat). RNAcentral describes it as "mir-9193 microRNA precursor family". It matches the Rfam family "mir-9193 microRNA precursor family". The record is from Rfam by way of RNAcentral. Lineage: Eukaryota; Metazoa; Chordata; Mammalia; Chiroptera; Vespertilionidae.
AGUGGGGUAGGGGGGUCCCUUAACCCGGAUUGUGAGAGGGCUCAGGCCAGGCCAAGGGACCCCACUGGUGCAUG